RNAcentral lists this ribosomal RNA (522 nucleotides) under Holothuria poli. RNAcentral describes it as "partial 16S ribosomal RNA". It matches the Rfam family "Bacterial large subunit ribosomal RNA", at positions 1809 to 2605 of the family's 2925-position model. The record is from RNAcentral. Lineage: Eukaryota; Metazoa; Echinodermata; Holothuroidea; Aspidochirotida; Holothuriidae.
AAAAACAUAGCCCUCUGAAUCUAUAAAGGGUCCCGCCUGCCCAGUGGCUUAAGGCUAAACGGCCGCGGUAUCUUGACCGUGCAAAGGUAGCAUAAUCAUUUGUCUUUUAAAUGGAGACUCGUAUGAACGGCGAAACCUUUUUCAACUGUCUCCCCUCCCACCCUUUUAAAUUUCUUCCUGUGUGAAGAAGCACAGAUAUAUUAGAAAGACGAGAAGACCCUGUCGAGCUUUAGUCACCAAGUGGACCGCUUCCUUUUAAGGUACCACCUAAAGGCUUUGGUUGGGGCAACCAUGGAGAAAAAAAAAUCCUCCAGAACAAAUAGAAGAAAACCCUUCACUAUCUUAAAAUUAAGAACCAGGAACUGGUAUUCGGAAAAAGUUACCGCAGGGAUAACAGCGUCAUCUCCUCUAAGAGUCCUUAUUGACGAGGAGGUUUGCGACCUCGAUGUUGGAUUGGGGCCCCCUUAGGGUGCAGAAGCUCUAAACGGUUAGACUGUUCGUCUAUUAAAGCCCUACGUGAUC